UAUUUCCAAUAUCUGAACACACAAAGAAACUAUAAUCUCCUCCUUCACCUUAUUGGUCUCUUCCUUACAGCAAUUCAGUCAUACCAAUAACUGCUAUUUCCACCAAUAUAUUCACCCUCAUAAUCUCUAAUUGUAAUACUGCACCCUCAUAGCUUUCAGCACACAAUUACCCUCGUUCCAAUCACUGGAAUUCUUCACACAGAACUGCCAUUCAUAUUACAAUGUUUCACACAAAUACAAACUCAUUCUCUCUGCUGAACUACAAUCAGAUUUCAACAUUCAAUCUUUCUUCUUCUCAAAUAAUACCAAUCACAUUUCCAUUCCAUAAUUCACUUCACAAUAUUUAGAAACUCUCAAUCCUCUUAUUCAAAGAAAAUAACAAACAAAAGAAAAGAGGUAGCACCAAGCUUACCCCGGCUUUUACUAUCACAGCGAUGGCCUUCGGCUCAUGACUAUCUUAGUCUGGCCCUCGGCUUACGACUCUCACAAUCUGGUAUUUUCUUCUCCUCUUCCAUCCUCCUUAUACUACCCCAAGAUACCAACUCCUAUAUUACAAAUCAUAACUACUUUUUCUGACUAUGCAUCCAUUCUACCUGCUGAACCACCUUUUCAGCAAUUAUGUAUCCUUGUUUACACUAUACACUAGGUAUCUACAUUGUGAAAAUAACUACUUAUUCUACAUAGCCCCACUCCUAACUGUGCAGCGUCCCUGCAAACACUCAAUUGAUACAUAUCUGAAAAUUAUCUAACAAAAUUCUACAAAAAUUGCGAUCCCUUUGGCCUAUCUAAUUAAUCAAUUGCCAUAGUAUCUGUUAUUGGUUCCACUAAUUCCGAUUCCAACUGCAAAUCUUCUUCCUCCUCCAAUCCUUCCAUCGGCUCUUGCCUCAACUGAGCUGAAAGGUCUUCAUUGUACUCACCCAGUACACAGACUUGAGCUUCUAAUUUUAGGAUCUGGACAUCUCAAAAUUCCAAUUGUUGCUGCUGCUGACUCAUCCAUUCUAUAACAUCUUCAAUCGAUACUUGUGACUGGCUCCUCAAUGUUAAGUCUUAACUGAAACUACUACUCUCAAAAACACAAGAAAUACAAGAAAAUGGCACUCCAGCCAACCCAAAAUAAUACCACAGAAUGACUUUAACUGGUGCCCCACUCCUAUUCUUUUACCUAGUGGUGAUAACGACAACAUGUUAUCCAUACUGUCCGUGAAAGGUAAUGAAAAGUAAUCUUUUUUGGUGGCCGCAUUUAACUUUCGGAAAUUUUGACAUAUCCUGAUUUUUACAUUCUUCUUCGGUACCAUCACGAUUGGCGACACCCAUGUACUAUGCGGAACAGGAUAAAUAAAAUCCAUGACAAGAAGUCUAUCCAAUUCUUCUUUCACUAAAAAGAAAUAUUUUGGAUUAAGCUGGUGUUGUCUUUGACAAACUGGCAUAACACCCUCCUCCAAAAUAAUUUGAUGCUCUUACACGUGAACUGGAAUUUCUUUCAAAUCUGCAUACGACCACACAUAGGCAGAUUUGUGACAGACGAAAAACUGUUUUGAAGCAUCCAAUUCUGUACCAAUAAUAUCGACAUAUAUUUUAAUUAGUUGUGGCAUUUUGUUGGUGCCCAGAUUAAUAGAUUGACACACAAGGUCUUCAACAACCUCUGAUUUAAUUUUCUUCUCCUGAUCUGAAUAUCUUGUAUUAUCCGACAUAUGGGAACCAUCCAAAUUUGGUUCUGAUGUGCUGACUCUAUUGACUACGGAAUUGUUAAUCCAUUCGGCAAUAGCAUGAUCCGAGUUAGUCACAUCCUCUUGAUGAAGUAAAUAUUCACCGGGACCUCCACAUUGGUAGACUCCUACCUUUACCGUUGAAGUGAUUUGUCCUACCUCAAAUUGCGAUUAACCUAUAGCAUCAUCAUCUGCUUCAAUCGAUUGACUCUUGUUGUCCGAUGUAAAUUUUGAUUCUGGCAAUUGAGAUUCUCUAUGAUAUUGUACCGGAUACAUCUAUAGAACAAUCUGGUCCCGGUCUUUUCUAAUUGUCAAUGUGCCUCGGCCCCAAUCGUUCUUAGCUUUGGCUUGAUAAAGCCAAGGUCUGUCUAAUAAAAUGAGAUAUAAUAAUAUAGAACUAUGUAAUCGAAAUACAAUAUAAUCGAUUUUGUAUGUCAAUCCCGCGAUUACAGUGGCAAUAUUACAUAAGAUUCCCAUUGGCUUUACUUGACUAUGAUUUGCCAUUCGUAAGACCAAUGUCGUAGGUACCAAUUGCUUUAGAUCUAAGUCCUUCAUUGUAUCCGCAUUCAUUAAAUUCACACUAGAGCCACCAUCAACUUGUACCCUUGGAAUUAAAAUGCCAUCAAUUGAUACAUCGAUUGUUGGUGCUCCCGGAUCUGGAUUUAAGCUAACUUCAUAAAUUUCUUUAAUGCGGGAUCUUCAUUGUAUUAACGCUGAAUUCAAUAUAGAUCGACAUUCUAGUGCUACAACCAAAAGUUGCUUCAUUGUAAUUGAAGGCUGAAUAACAUCCAAAUCCUUCAGAAUGUCGUAGGAUUCCAUAUUUAGGAUAAUUUCCAAUGCCCUCUUUCUUUUCAUUGGUUUGAGUUUAACUCCGUGAGGUAAGAUAUUCUUCUGCCUUGGACUCGAAAUUAGAAUAGCAGCUGGGGCUUCCUUGGAAUUCCGACCUCCGAGAGGAUCUUUCAACGGAUAGGACGUUUCUUGGAACUACGUAGAGAUCAAAACUGCUUGGAACAAAAUCGAAGCCUCCAUAAUUGGGACCUCAUUGGGUUGUGCCACCGAGUCAGGUCUCAUACUGGGUACGAAGCCCGUAACAUGACCUAGAUUGGAUGGUCUCCUAAUUGGGUCAAAUUGGUCUCUCGCAUCGGGAUUAUCCAAAUGUUGAAUUGGUCCUUUUCUCUUUUGGUGACUCCAGGUAAGAACGGCUUGGACACAUUCCACCUGAUUUAUCGAAGAAUCUUGAGGAUCUCGAUUUAUCUCCUCAAAUUUUUCUUGGCUUUGAAUCUAUUGAUUCCGAUUAUUGACAUUGAACGAAGCAUUCAUUGCUGAUACAUAUGCCCCUACUACUUGCAAUUUACACAAACUAGUGCAUAAUCGUCACUGGCUCUGAAAUUGGGACAUUCAUUGGUAUAAUGAUCAAUCUGUCUGCACCGGAAACAAUGAAGUGGUCUUCUUGUACCUCCAUCAGGCAUAUUGGGUGCCUCCACCGGUAUAUACCUAUUAAGCUUGUUCCAUGUAGGGUUAGAAAAUGAUCCUAGUUGUCUUGUUGGUACUGAAGAAACUUGAUUUGAUGACGUCGGUGGAGCAUAUUGCUGAUACCUGUGCUACUCCUUACCAUAGUUCUGGGGGUUUGAUACAGACCUCUGAUUAAAAUUGGAACUUUGAAAGUUAUUGAAUUCUCAAUUUUGUCGAUUAAAUCGAUUUUCAUUCCAUCCAAACGUAUUUUCCAUUUGCACUUGAUUGACGUCCCACUGGGUUGGUGGAAUCAUGGUCUGAUUACUAAAUUAUUGUUGUUGUCUUUGCCAAUUCCAACAAUUUGCUGUUAGGUGCUUUCCUCCGCAAAAUGUACAUUGACCCAUUAUUUGUGAGAGUGAGGGGCAUUCUGUUACAGAAUGACCGUGGCUCUUACAAUUACUGUACCAUACAUUGGUCCUAAUAUUGAUAGGCUUUUGCCUCUUCUCUUUAUCUUUGGCCAUAUUGACGGCCAUUUCUUCCAUUUUCUUUGUCAAAUUUAAUAACAAGGUUUCAUUGAAAUCUUUUAGGACUGGCAUUAUUGGUAUCUCUACCAUAGUUAACACUUGUUGUUGAUACAAAAAAUAUGGAGCAUAUGCUGUUAUCACAUUCGGUGGUAUAGCUUGCAAUGGGGUGACAUUAAUUGGCCUGUGAAUAUUAGUAUUGGAAUUGGCCCCUGUUUCUAACAUCCGUGGAUAACUACCCACUGAUUCAUUCUAAGUCAGAUUUUGAUAUCUACCUUGAACUGGAAUCAUCGUGGCUCUCGCAGUUAAAAACUGAUCAUAAUGGCAUUCCUCCCAAACUUUGGCUCUAUUAAAGGAUGCAGCCAUCGUAACGGGUUGAGCUUCCUUUACAAACAUUUUUAGCUUUGGUGGGUGCAAACCAUUGAUUAAUAUGGAUAAGAUAAAUGCCUCCAACAUUUGGUGAUUCGGCCACUUACUGAAUAUAUCACCCCCCCGGCCAUAGUAUGAUUCCACCACCUUCCCUAGGAUCAUUUUGCUGUUCAUUAACCUCUCUCGAAGGCGAUCCUCAAAACCAAUUGGCCAAAAAUGAGAUAAAAAUACAUUCUUCAAUGCUUCCCAAUUUAGAAAUUGACCCACUGGUUGGCAGUUGUACUAUUCAAAUGUCGUGGCUUUUAAGGUCAUUGGCAACCAUUGCAACCAAAUAUCUUCAGUUUUACCAUUAUUAGCUAUACAUGCUAUAAGAAACUGAGACAAAUAUUGAUCGGAAUCCGUACCCGAAAAUCCCCAAAAAGUAGGUAGUGGCGCGACACUAGUUGUACAAUCGCCUAUUGCAUCCAUUUGUACUGCAAUCAGAAUGACUGGUCCUCCUGACACCAUUAAGUUUCUUGUUCCACUAAACUCCAUUUUAAAAUAAUCUCUACUUUUCCUUAUUCUAAUUUCCGAGCUCUCAGUGCUCCUUGAUUUAGUGUUAUUUUCCGCAAUUAGUUUUAUUAGUUGAAUUACAGGUGAAAACAUCGGAUUUUGAAAUACAAUAUAGUUAUCUUUAUUGGUGACCAAUUUGUGCUAAUUUGAAGAGCUACUAUUGCUCAUUUCAGCGGUACCCCUACUGAAAAAAUACCCAAUGGAGUACCAAAUUCUUCUAUGCCUCCUUCUCUUUCAGUUAACAGCAUCAAAAUUUCCAUUGAAAUAUUAACAAAAUUUCUCGCGAGUGUUCUUGGCAGUUUUUCUAAUGGUACAUACGACUACAAAAUUAACAGUCUGUCCAGUUCUUGAUAUGUUCGGAUGCACCGACAAGCUUGUAACCAUGGUUUAAUCCAAUUUUGUCGAUGCUUCCUUUUAAGAUUAUGUUCUUGCUCUUCUCUAAGCAAGUUCUUUCCUUGCGCUCUUCCUUCUCUUUCUUCAAAUUGAUUUAUUUUCCUCGAUGCAAUGCUCUCUUUCUUAUUAACCAUAAUCUUGCUUCAAACACUACUGAAAUCGUCUUCCAUUGCCAAUUUUUUCAUACGUUUGGUAAUUAAUUCCUAACAUUCAAAGCUAUUAUCACUCUUCGGCAAUGGCACCAAAAUGUGAUUGCUCGUUUUCUUAUUUCAAAAGAAACCUCCCAGAAUAAAUCCAUAUAGGAAGAUUCGAACACGGAGAAUGACUAGUUGCUUAAGCGUUCAUGUUAGGAUCACACAAUCAAUUACCUCCUGAAUGUAUCGUCUCUAUUUCCAAUAUCUGAACACACAAAGAAACUAUAAUCUCCUCCUUCACCUUAUUGGUCUCUUCCUUACAGCAAUUCAGUCAUACCAAUAACUGUUAUUUCCACCAAUAUAUUCACCCUCAUAAUCUCUAAUUGUAAUACUGCACCCUCAUAGCUUUCAGCACACAAUUACCCUCGUUCCAAUCACUGGAAUUCUUCAUACAGAACUGCCAUUCAUAUUACAAUGUUUCACACAAAUACAAACUCAUUCUCUCUGCUGAACUACAAUCAGAUUUCAACAUUCAAUCUUUCUUCUUCUCAAAUAAUACCAAUCACAUUUCCAUUCCAUAAUUCACUUCACAAUAUUUAGAAACUCUCAAUCCUCUUAUUCAAAGAAAAUAACAAACAAAAGAAAAGAGGUAGCACCAAGCUUACCCCGGCUUUUACUAUCACAGCGAUGGCCCUCGGCUCAUGACUAUCACAGUCUGGCCCUCGGCUUACGACUCUCACAAUCUGGUAUUUUCUUCUCCUCUU
Molecule: long non-coding RNA, 5891 nt
Filed under: Physcomitrium patens
Lineage: Eukaryota; Viridiplantae; Streptophyta; Bryopsida; Funariales; Funariaceae
Description: long non-coding RNA (PPAT_LNC000545)
Source: RNAcentral